ACGGGAGGCAGCAGCUAAGAAUAUUCCGCAAUGGACGAAAGUCUGACGGAGCGACGCCGCGUGGAUGAUGAAGGUCGGAAGAUUGUAAAAUCCUUUUAAGUAUGAAGAAUAAGCAUGUCAGGUAAUGGGCGUGCGGUGACGGUAGUACUUGAAUAAGCAACCGCUAAUUACGUGCCAGCAGCCGCGGUAAUACGUAAGUUGCGAGCGUUGUUCGGAAUUAUUGGGCGUAAAGGGCAUGUAGGCGGAUAUGCAAGCUUGGUGUGAAAGGCGGGAGCUUAACUCCCGGACUGCGUUGAGAACUGCAUAACUAGAGUGACUGAGAGGCAGGCAGAAUUCCAGGUGUAGGGGUGAAAUCUGUAGAUAUCUGGAAGAAUACCAAUGGCGAAGGCAGCCUGCCAGCAGAUGACUGACGCUGAGGUGCGAAGGUGCGGGGAGCAAACAGGAUUAGAUACCCUGGUA
This 459-nucleotide ribosomal RNA is filed under the name uncultured Treponema sp. Its description in RNAcentral is "partial 16S ribosomal RNA". It matches the Rfam family "Bacterial small subunit ribosomal RNA", at positions 341 to 792 of the family's 1533-position model. The record is from RNAcentral. Lineage: Bacteria; Pseudomonadati; Spirochaetota; Spirochaetia; Treponematales; Treponemataceae.